Molecule: ribosomal RNA, 253 nt
Filed under: uncultured bacterium
Lineage: Bacteria
Description: partial 16S ribosomal RNA
Rfam family: Bacterial small subunit ribosomal RNA
Source: RNAcentral
UACAGAGGUCUCAAGCGUUGUUCGGAUUCAUUGGGCGUAAAGGGUGCGUAGGCCGCGCGGUAAGUCGGGUGUGAAAUCUCGGGGCUUAACUCCGAAACUGCAUUCGAUACUGCCGUGCUUGAGGACUGGAGAGGAGACUGGAAUUUACGGUGUAGCGGUGAAAUGCGUAGAUAUCGUAAGGAAGACCAGUGGCGAAGGCGGGUCUCUGAACAGUUCCUGACGCUGAGGCACGAAGGUCAGGGGAGCAAACGGG